Molecule: ribosomal RNA, 482 nt
Filed under: uncultured bacterium
Lineage: Bacteria
Description: partial 16S ribosomal RNA
Rfam family: Bacterial small subunit ribosomal RNA
Source: RNAcentral
AUUGAACGCUGGCGGCAUGCCUUACACAUGCAAGUCGAACGGUAACAGGUCUUCGGAUGCUGUCGAGUGGCGACCGCGGGAGUAAUACAACGGAACGUGCCCGCUCGUGGGGGAUCACGAGGCGCAAGCUUAGCCAAUACCGCAUACGAUCUACGGUAGAAAGCGGGGUGGCUCCGGACCUCGCGCGGGCGGAGCGGCCGAUGGCAGAUUAGGUAGUUGGUGGGGUAAAAGCUUACCAAGCCGACGAUCUGUAGCUGGUCUGAGAGGAUGAUCAGCCACACUGGGACUGAGACACGGCCCAGACUCCUACGGGAGGCAGCAGUGGGGAAUUUUGGACAAUGGGCGAAAGCCUGAUCCAGCCAUGCCGCGUGCAGGAUGAAGGCCUUCGGGUUGUAAACUUCUUUUGUACGGAACGAAAAGCCUCUUUCUAAUAAAGAGGGGUCAUGACGGUACCGUAAGAAUAAGCACCGGCUAACUACGUG